AUGAGGUAUAGUAUGGUAGGGUUAUGAGGUAUAGUAUGGUAGGGUUAUGAGGUAUAGUAUGGUAGCGUUAUGAGGUAUAGUAUGGUAGGGUUAUGAGGUAUGGUAGGGUUAUGAGGUAUAGUAUGGUAGGGUUAUGAGGUAUAGUAUGGUAGGGUUAUGAGGUAUAGUAUGCUAGGGUUAUGAGGUAUAGUAUGGUAGGGUUAUGAGGUAUGGUAGGGUUAUGAGGUAUGGUAGGGUUAUGAGGUAUAGUAUGGUAGGGUUAUGAGGUAUAGUAUGGUAGGGUUAUGAGGUAUAGUAUGGUUAUGAGGUAUAGUAUGGUAGGGUUAUGACAUAUGGUAGGGUUAUGAGGUAUAGUAUGGUAGGGUUACGAGGUAUAUUAUGGUAAGGUUAUGAGGUAUAGUAUGGUAGGGUUAUGAGGUAUAGUAUGGUAGGGUUAUGAGGUAUAGUAUGGUAGGGUUAUGAUGUGUAGUAUGGUAGGGUUAUGAGGUAUAUUAUGGUAGGGUUAUGAGGUAUAGUAUGGUAGGGUUAUGAGGUAUGGUAGGGUUAUGAGGUAUAGUAUGUUAGGGUUAUGAGGUAUAGUAUGGUAGGGUUGUGAGGUAUUGAAGGGUUAUGAUGUAUAGUAUGGUAGGGUUAUCAGGUAUAUUAUGGUAGGGUUAUGAGGUAUAGUAUGGUAGGGUUAUGAGGUGUAGUAUGGUAGGGUUAUGAGGUAUAGUAUGGUAGGGUUUUGAGGUAUGGUAGGGUUAUGAGGUAUAGUAUGGUAGGGUUAUGAGGUAUAGUAUGGUAGGGUUAUGAGGUAUAGUAUGGUAGGGUUAUGAGGUGUAGUAUGGUAGGGUUAUGAGGUAUAGUAUGGUAGGGUUAUGAGGUAUAGUAUGGUAGGGUUGUGAGGUAUGGUAGGGUUAUGAGGUAUAGUAUGGUAGGGUUAUGAGGUAUAGUAGGGUUAUGAGGUAUGGUAGGGUUAUGAGGUAUAGUAUGGUAGGAUUAUGAGGUAUAGUAUGGUAGGAUUAUGAGGUAUGGUAGGGUUAUGAGGUAUGGUAGGGUUAUGAGGUAUGGUAGGGUUAUGAGGUAUAGUAUGGUAGGGUUAUGAGGUACAGUAUGGUAUGGUUAUGAGGUAUAGUAUGGUAGGGUUAUGAGGUAUGGUAGGGUUAUGAGGUAUAGUAUGGUAGGGUUAUGAGGUAUAGUAUGGUAGGGUUAUGAGGUGUGGUAGGGUUAUGAGGUAUGGUAGGGUUAUGAGGUAUAGUAUGUUAGGGUUAUGAUGUAUAGUAUGGUAGGAUUAUGAGGUAUGGUAGGGUUAUGAGGUAUGGUAGGGUUAUGAGGUAUAGUAUGGUAUGGUUAUGAGGUAUAGUAUGGUAGGGUUAUGGCGUACGGUAGGGUUAUGAUGUAUAGUAUGGUAGGGUUAUGAGGUAUAGUAUGGUAGGGUUAUGAGGUAUGGUAGGGUUAUGAGGUAUAGUAUGGUAGGGUUAUGAGGUAUAGUAUGGUAGGGUUAUGAGGUAUAGUAUGCUAGGGUUAUGAGGUGAGGUAUGGUAGGGUUAUGAGGUAUGGUAGGGUUAUGAGGUAUAGUUUGGUAUGGUUAUGAGGUAUAGUAUGGUAGGGUUAUGACGUAUGGUAGGGUUAUGAGGUAUAGUAUGUUAGGGUUAUGAGGUGUAGUAUGGUAGGGUUAUGAGGUAUAGUAUGGUAGGGUUAUGAGGUAUGGUAGGGUUAUGAGGUAUGGUGG
Molecule: long non-coding RNA, 1711 nt
Organism: Oncorhynchus keta (chum salmon)
Lineage: Eukaryota; Metazoa; Chordata; Actinopteri; Salmoniformes; Salmonidae
Exons: 4
Source: RefSeq, a predicted model, not a curated record